UUCUGUGACUUUGCAGCCCCGGCUUGGUGAUAAUUUUUGUGCAGGCUUCUUGACAUGGAAAGCAGAGCUCCCCAGCACAGAGUGAGCCUCCGAAGGGCUCCUGCCCUUACCGGUGCCCUACCCUCCCUUUCCCUGCUUGCUACACUUGGGUCCGGGACUCAGCCUCCCUUUGCAAGCUUCUGCUCGGCCUGUGUGCAGCUGCACUUAGCUGGCAGGGUCAGGCGUUGAGUAGCCGCUCCGCUCCUUCUGCAGCCUCCUGCAGCCCCCGCCAGCUCCCGGGCUCCAUCCCUCACCAUCAGUUGCUGAUUGGCGCCCCCUGCGUGCACAACGGAGGCUGGCUGCACCUGGAGGUUCCCAGCAAUUCCAGGCCGGCUCCAGCCUAGCCAAAGCAGCUAACUUCUCUGCUGUCUCGUGGGCUGAACCUCACCGUUUCCCAAGAGGAGCUGCCUGGCAAUGGUAGCAGGUGAAGGUCAUGGUGAAGAAGAUGCAGAUAUUGGCAAUUUGGAGCAUUAGAUGAACUAAUUACAACGUUAACCUAAGGAACAGUGCAACAGAAAAUGGGCUAAGACAUGGAGCAAGGGGCAGAACGACUCUUGAAGAUGCUGAGCAACUUCUGCUCAGCCACUUGGGUCUCCUUUGCCAAGGAGUGUCCUCCCUCUGGAACUCAAUACCAGCUCUUUCUUCUUCUGGAAUCUUCUCUCAGCUCUUUUAAGGACAGUGGUUCUUUCAACUGCUCCUUAUGUGAAGAAUUUCUCCAGGAUUCAUCAUUCCAUCUGGAUCUGUAUAAAUAAAGCUGAAGUUCUGGUCAUGACCACUCCCUGGAUCACUCCUGCCCCUGUGUUCCUGGAGCCUCAGAGUUUUGCGUCACAUGAGCUCCCAAGCUCUUCCUUUCUCAUUCAUCUGCUUUGGUUCAUUCUUGUUGAGACUCACUAUAAGGAAAGCACCUCAUCCUGCUACAGCUGGGUACAGAACUCUGAUGUCUUCAUAAAAGUUGCUGCCUCUUGGGAGCUGUGAGCAUUGGGAUCAGCCAGUAUGGCACAUUUGCUGCUACCUCAGGGCGUGAGAGCAUGCUAAGCUCCACAUGAAGGCCUCACUUUCCCACACUAUCUCCACUGAGCACUGAAGUGAUGAUGUUGUGUCCCUGUGUCUCAGGGGUAAAUGGAGGCAGCCUUUUUCUUUUCAGGGCUGACACAAAAAGUCAAUGGGGCUUGGGGAUGAAUAACAACAAAGGACAGGCCCUCUUGCAUGAGGUCAGUCCCUCCUGCUCCUGCCCUCAAAUGUAUAUGCAAAACUAUUUUCCUUGUUCUGUGCAUGAGGUCACUGUCUAUGGUCCCAUUGAUAUGGUUUGGCUAUGGACUGACCUAAAUCUCAUCUUGAAUUGUAAUAAUCCCCAUAUGUCAAGGGUGGGGUCAGGUGGAGGUAAUGGAAUCACAGGGGGUGGCUUCCCCCAUACUAUUCUCAUGAUAGUGAAAAAGUCUCACGAAAUCUGAUAGUUUUAUAAAUGGGAGUUUCCCUGCACAAGCUCUCUUGCCUGCUGCCAUGUAAGACAUGAUUUUGCUCCUCAUUUGCCUUCCAUAAUGAUUGUGAGACCUCCCCAGCCAUGUGGAACUGUGAGUCAAUUAAACCUCUUUCCUUUAUAAAUUACCCAGUGUUGGGUAUAUCUUUAUUAGCAGUGUGGGAACAGGCUAAUACAGUAAUUGGUACCAGUAGAGUGGGAUUCUGCUGUAAAGAUACCCCAAAAAUGUGGAGGUGACUAUGGAACUGGGUAACAGGCAGAAGUUGGAACAGUUUGGAGGACUCAGAAGACAGGAAAAUGUGGAAAAGUUUGGAGCUUUAUAGAGACUCGGAGGGCUCAUAAGCCAGGAAAAUACGGGAAAGUUUGGAAUUUCCUAGAGACUUGUUGAAUGGUUUUGACCAAAAUGCUGAUAGUGAUAUGGAAAAUAAAGUCCAGGUUGAGGAGGUCUCAGAUGGAGAUGAAGAGCAAAGGUAACUCUUGUCAUGCUUUAGCAAAAAGACUGGCAGCAUUUUGCUUCUGCCAUAGAGAUCUGUGGAACUUGGAACUUGAGAAAGAUGAUUUAGGCAUCCGGUGGAAGAAAUUUUUAAAUAGCAAGGCAUUCAAGAUGUGACUUGGGUGCUGUUAAAAGCAUUCAGUUUUCUGUAUUCACAAAGAUAUGGUUUGGAAUCAGAACUUAUGCUUAAAAGGGAAGCAGAGCAUAAAAAUUUAGAAAAUUUGCAGGCUGAUGAUGCAAUAGAAAAGAAAAACCCAUUUUCUGAGGAGAAAUUCAAGCCUGCUGCAGAAAUUUGCGUAAAUAAUGAGGAGAAAAAUGUUAAUCACCAAGAAAAUGCAGAAAAUGUCUCCAGGGUAUCACAGAGAGAUUUGCAGCAGCCCCUCCCAUCACAGGCCUAGAGGCCUAGGAGGAAAAAAUGGUUUCGUGGGCUGGGCCCAUGGCCUCGCUGCUCUGUGCAGCCUAGGGACUUGGUGCUCUGUGUCCCAGCCACUCUAGCUGUGGCUAAAAGAGGACAAGGUACAGCUCAGGCUGUGGCUUCAGAGGGUGGAAGCCCCAAGCCUUGGCAGCUUCCAUGUGGUGUUGAGCUUGUGGGUGCACAGAAGUUAGGAAUUGAGGUUUGGAAACCUCUGCCUAGUUUCAGAAGAAGUAUGGAAGCACCUGGAUGUCCAGGCAGAAGUUUGCCGUAGGGGUAGGGUCCUCAUGGAGAACCUCUGCUAGGGCUGUGUGAAAGAGCAAUGUGGGGUGGGGUCCCCCAGACAGAGUCCCUACUUGGGCACUGCCUAGUGGAGCUGUGAGAAGAAGCCCACCAUCCCGCAGACUCCAGAGUGGUAGGUCCACCAAUAGCUUGCACCGUGCACCUGGAAAAGUGGCAGACACUCAAUGCCAGCCCAUGAAAGCAACCAGGAGGGAGGCUGUACCCUACAAAGCCACAGAAUGGAGCUGCCCAAGACCAUGGGAACACACCUCUUGCAUCUGUAUGACCUGGAUGUGAGAAAUGGAGUCAAAGAAGAUCAUUUUGGAGCUUUAAGAUUUGACUGCCCCCCUGGAUUUCAAACUUGGAUGGGGUCUGUAGCUCCUUCGUUUUGGCCAGUUUCUUCCAUUUGGAACAGCUGUAUUUGACCAAUGACAGUACCCUCAUUAUAUCUAGGAAGCAACUUACUUGGUUUUGAUUUUACAGGCUCAUAGGUGGAAGAGAGUUUCCUGGUUUCAGAUGAGACUUUGGACUGGGACUUUUGGGUUAAUGCUGUAAUGAGUUAAGACUUUGGGGGACAGUUGGGAAGGCAAGAUUGUUUUUUGAAAUGUGAAAGUGACAUGAGAUUUGGGAGGGUCUGGGGGCAGAAUGAUGUGGUUUGGGUGUUUCCCGACCCAAAUUUCAUCUUGAAUUGUAAUAAUCCACACAUGUCAAGAACAGGGCCAGGUGAAGAUACUUGAAUCAUGGGGGUGAUUUCCUCCAAACUGUUCUCAUGGUAGUGAAUAAAUCUCAAGAGAUCUGAUGGUUUUAUAAAUGGGAUUUCCUCUGCACAAACUUUCUUUCCUGUCACCAUGUAAGACGUGACUUUGCUCAUCAUUCAUCUUCCACCAUGUUUGUAAGGCCUCCCCAACUAUAUGGAACUGUGAGUCAAUUAA
This 3635-nucleotide long non-coding RNA is filed under the name Homo sapiens (human). RNAcentral describes it as "long intergenic non-protein coding RNA 1182". The record is from RNAcentral. Lineage: Eukaryota; Metazoa; Chordata; Mammalia; Primates; Hominidae.